UAUAUCUAUAAAUAUUUAUAAAUAUAUGGAUUUGAAUAACGUCAGGACCCAUUUUGUUGUGUCCAUAAUUUUCUGCUGUAUUUUAUCAUAUUUUCUUCCUUUUUCACAGAAUGGUGAGAUUUAGGAAGUGCGCUGUGAAAGGAUGUGGGGGCACUCAGUCUACUAGGCACUGAUUUCCUAACUCAAAAAGGAAAUGGGAAGGUUCCAGAAAUGGGUAGAAGCUUGUGGCAAUAGGUACAGCUUUAACAACCUUAACACCCGAUCUUAUAUAUCGAUCAUAUAGUUUGUGUCACAUUCAGUUCAGAACUGAGGAUAAAUCCACAAAUAUGUAUUUUCAAAAGGGAAAUCUCUGGAAAGGUAGUCCCUAUGCUACACUUACCUUUUCCUGCACCACCUAUUGAUAGUUUAGAAGUUGACAUACCAACAUCCACUGUUACCCAUGAAGUUAUCGACGAUGCAUUUCUUGAAGAGCAAAAUGUGCCGUUACAUGUCUACAGCAAACAAACAAACAAAGAUAGCCCACGAUCAACCAAGUACUUCAUCAGUUGAAGUAAUCGGGGAACAUGCUAGUACUUCAUUUAGUGAAUAUCGAGAAGUGAUAUGUACAACACCUGUAAUGGAUAAGCGUAAGUUGAUUUGUUAUAAUGAUGUCAAAUUUGUCCGUAUAUAAAUAAAAAUGUACCAAUCUGAAAUUCAGGUACACGGUAUGUUCUUGUAAGAUAAUAGUAAUGUAAUUGUCAUGAAUGCGAGAUCUUAUUGUAAUAUAUGCAGAUAUAUAGGUAGGUAUUAUGUAUAAUCUUUGUAACCUGAAUAUUAUGGGAAGUAUGCGUUAUAUUAUUAUUUUUAUGUAAUUGUUGUACACAAAGUACCUACAAUAUUAUAUAUUCAUUAUAUCGGUUAGUGAUAAAAUUAGAUGUUAUUCUUGUUUGCUUUAAGUUUCGUUUUGAAAGUUUGUAACAAGAUAUAACUACUAACAAUAAUAUAUAUUAACGUUUAUGUUUUCGAUCACUUUAAAAUCUUAAUAAAGCAGCCAUAUGAACAUGCGCGAACUUGUAAACAAAAUCAAAAUAGUCGACAAUGACGGACAAAUUUGAAAAUAUUUGAACCACCGAUUUGAAAUUAAGAUGUAUACUAUAUAAAAUAUGGUUACUCGUUAGAUUCGUACUUUUAGGAAUUUUUGGAAUCGUCUCGAUAUGUAACAGUUUAUAUGUUUACAUCAUAAGUGCCCUCGUCUUUAUUUUAGAUGUGUGUUAAUGAUAAUAUAA
Anoplophora glabripennis (Asian longhorned beetle) is the source of this 1265-nucleotide long non-coding RNA. RefSeq lists it as uncharacterized. Lineage: Eukaryota; Metazoa; Arthropoda; Insecta; Coleoptera; Cerambycidae. The transcript has 3 exons. The record is from RefSeq and is a predicted model, not a curated record.